AUUUGAAUUCAUCACCUCUACUGAUUCCCAUUAAUAAAUGUUAAUGGAAUGGGCAAGGAAAUGAUCCGACCUUUUGAAGAUCCAUGGACUGCAAGCAAAUAUGACGAGUAGGGUGGCUCUACCCUUGAUAAUUUCAAAAGGCACAAGCAAUAAGGGGGUUCAUCUGCAUGACACUGGCCCCUGUGGACAGGGUCUUUAAAAUGAAUAUGUACAAAAGAAGUGAUAAUCCUGCUACAAUAAUGGAGGGAAACCAUCAACAGAAGACUGAUUUCUGAAACUUUCUGAAAUAUGGAAAAACGGAAAGCGGAAAGUAAAGUACAAUAUUUACUCAUGCAGCAAAGCAAGGGAAGCCAUAAUCUUGAAUAUAGGCAUCAACGGGGGAUAAGAAAACACCGACCCGUUUGUCAGAAGUCCAGUGAGGUGCUACAGGAGGAGUGGGUGAGAAGUUUCCGAAAACACUAGAUUUAAUUAAAGAUG
RNAcentral lists this long non-coding RNA (477 nucleotides) under Homo sapiens (human). RNAcentral's name for it is "novel transcript, antisense to GRAMD3". Lineage: Eukaryota; Metazoa; Chordata; Mammalia; Primates; Hominidae. The record is from RNAcentral.